Salvelinus namaycush (lake trout) is the source of this 1908-nucleotide long non-coding RNA. RefSeq lists it as uncharacterized. The transcript has 3 exons. Lineage: Eukaryota; Metazoa; Chordata; Actinopteri; Salmoniformes; Salmonidae. The record is from RefSeq and is a predicted model, not a curated record.
UAGCUGAGUUUCUGAGUAUAUAACUUGAUAUGUGAUAUGAAUCUUGGUAAGACAAAGUCAUUUGAUAAACGUGUUAGUCAUUACUCUAUAAUCCACUUUCAGUAGUUAGUUCUUUACUUUUUGAAGUUUUAUUACCCAUGUUUGUAUUAUGGGUUUAUAUCCAUUUCCUGAUUAUUCUAUAUAUGUUUUCCCCAUAAACAAUGUCUUUCUAAUCCCCCUCAGGAAUUGAUAGAGUUAAAUGGAAUGAUGGACUAAUGUCUCCUGUUAGAAUCUGUUACAGACCCUCUUAUGUCCAGUACCUGAUAAUCAGGUAUAUCAACCAGACCACAGGACUAAGGUCUCCUGUUAGAAUCUGUUACAGACUAUCUUAUGUCCAGUACCUGAUAAUCAGGUAUAUCAACCAGACCACAGGACUAAUGUCUCCUGUUAGAAUCUGUUACAGACUCUCUUAUGUCCAGUACCUGAUAAUCAGGUAUAUCAACCAGACCACAGGACUAAUGUCUCCUGUUAGAAUCUGUUACAGACUCUCUUAUGUCCAGUACCUGAUAAUCAGGUGUAUCAACCAGACCACAGGACUAAUGUCUCCUGUUAGAAUCUGUUUCAGACCCUCUUAUGUCCAGUACCUGAUAAUCAGGUAUAUCAACCAGACCACAGGACUAAGGUCUCCUGUUAGAAUCUGUUACAGACUCUCUUAUGUCCAGUACCUGAUAAUCAGGUAUAUCAACCAGACCACAGGACUAAGGUCUCCUGUUAGAAUCUGUUACAGACUCUCUUAUGUCCAGUACCUGAUAAUCAGGUAUAUCAACCAGACCACAGGACUAAGGUCUCCUGUUAGAAUCUGUUACAGACUCUCUUAUGUCCAGUACCUGAUAAUCAGGUAUAUCAACAAGACCACAGGACUAAGGUCUCCUGUUAGAAUCUGUUACAGACUCUCUUAUGUCCAGUACCUGAUAAUCACAGGUAUAUCAACAAGACCACAGGACUAAGGUCUCCUGUUAGAAUCUGUUACAGACUCUCUUAUGUCCAGUACCUGAUAAUCAGGUAUAUCAACCAGACCACAGGACUAAGGUCUCCUGUUAGAAUCUGUUACAGACUCUCUUAUGUCCAGUACCUGAUAAUCAGGUAUAUCAACAAGACCACAGGACUAAUGUCUCCUGUUAGAAUCUGUUACAGACUCUCUUAUGUCCAGUACCUGAUAAUCAGGUAUAUCAACAAGACCACAGGACUAAUGUCUCCUGUUAGAAUCUGUUACAGACUCUCUUAUGUCCAGUACCUGAUAAUCAGGUAUAUCAACCAGACCACAGGACUAAUGUCUCCUGUUAGAAUCUGUUACAGACCCUCUUAUGUCCAGUACCUGAUAAUCACAGGUAUAUCAACAAGACCACAGGACUAAGGUCUCCUGUUAGAAUCUGUUACAGACUCUCUUAUGUCCAGUACCUGAUAAUCACAGGUAUAUCAACAAGACCACAGGACUAAUGUCUCCUGUUAGAAUCUGUUACAGACUCUCUUAUGUCCAGUACCUGAUAAUCAGGUAUAUCAACAAGACCACAGGACUAAUGUCUCCUGUUAGAAUCUGUUACAGACUCUCUUAUGUCCAGUACCUGAUAAUCACAGGUAUAUCAACAAGACCACAGGACUAAGGUCUCCUGUUAGAAUCUGUUACAGACUCUCUUAUGUCCAGUACCUGAUAAUCAGGUAUAUCAACAAGACCACAGGACUAAGGUCUCCUGUUAGAAUCUGUUACAGACUCUCUUAUGUCCAGUACCUGAUAAUCAGGUAUAUCAACCAGACCACAGGAGGUUGGUGGCACCUUAAUUAGGGAGGACGGGCUCGUGGUAUUGGCUGAAGAGGAAUCAGUGGACUGGUAUCAAAUACAUCAAACACACGGUUUCCAUGGCUUCCAUGUUU